This is a non-coding RNA of Sphaerobolus stellatus SS14, 87 nucleotides long. Lineage: Eukaryota; Fungi; Basidiomycota; Agaricomycetes; Geastrales; Sphaerobolaceae. The record is from the annotation of a GenBank genome assembly.
CGUUGGGUAGCUCGGUUGGAAGGGCGUCAGACUGUAUAAUGGUUAACCUUUAUCUGAAUGUUAUUGGUUCGAUCCCGGUCACGGAGA